RNAcentral lists this unclassified non-coding RNA (638 nucleotides) under Clostridium sp. rennanqilfy3. RNAcentral's name for it is "16S-23S ribosomal RNA intergenic spacer". The stretch from base 438 to 638 matches the Rfam family "Bacterial large subunit ribosomal RNA", at positions 1 to 200 of the family's 2925-position model. The record is from RNAcentral. Lineage: Bacteria; Bacillati; Bacillota; Clostridia; Eubacteriales; Clostridiaceae.
GGGGUGAAGUCGUAACAAGGUAACCGUAGGGGAACCUGCGGUUGGAUCACCUCCUUACCUGAAAGAACCUGCCUUUGUAGUGCUCACACAGAUUGUCUGAUGAAAAGUAAAUAGCAAGGCGUCGUUGCGAUUGAGACUUCAGUGUCCCCUUCGUCUAGAGGCCCAGGACACCGCCCUUUCACGGCGGUAACAGGGGUUCGAAUCCCCUAGGGGACGCCACUUGCUGGUUUGUGAGUGAAAGUCACCGGCCUUAAUAUCUCAAAACUGAUUCUCAGGAAUCACGUUUGAGAUAUUUGCUCUUUAAAAAUCUGGAUCAAGCUGAAAAUUGAAACGACACACUGUUUCCUUUCUCCGUAAUAAGAGAGGAAAAAUGGUGUGUUCGAGUCUCUCAAAUUUUCGCAAUGCGGACUGUUUUACGAAACAGUUUCGGGUUGUGAGGUUAAGCGACUAAGCGUACACGGUGGAUGCCCUGGCAGUCAGAGGCGAUGAAGGACGUGCUAAUCUGCGAUAAGCGUCGGUAAGGUGAUAUGAACCGUUAUAACCGGCGAAUUUCCGAAUGGGGAAACCCAGUGUGUUUCGACACACUAUCGUUAAGUGAAUACAUAGCUUAACGAAACCGAACCGGGGGAACUGAAACU